RNAcentral lists this long non-coding RNA (264 nucleotides) under Mytilus galloprovincialis (Mediterranean mussel). The record is from RNAcentral. Lineage: Eukaryota; Metazoa; Mollusca; Bivalvia; Mytilida; Mytilidae.
GGUUGUUGUUAUUGUUCAAAGUUUUGAUCAAAGUAAUUUUAGUUUUACAAGAAGGAAUGAAAUGAAUUAGGUACUUAUAUGGACCAAUAAAAACAUGAACACAUCCAACAGAAAACUUCACUAAAUAUUUAGAAAAAUUCAUCUUCCGCCCAUUUGGGAACCCAUAAAUGAUGAACUAGUGAAAUAUGAAAUGUAUUGUACAAUGAUUUACAUAAAGUUUAUGUAACCCCCAAAGGCAUUAUGGGUAAUUAUGCUGAAUAUAUA